This 486-nucleotide ribosomal RNA is filed under the name Enterobacter cloacae. RNAcentral describes it as "bacterial SSU rRNA". It matches the Rfam family "Bacterial small subunit ribosomal RNA", at positions 358 to 831 of the family's 1533-position model. Lineage: Bacteria; Pseudomonadati; Pseudomonadota; Gammaproteobacteria; Enterobacterales; Enterobacteriaceae. The record is from RNAcentral.
GGAAUAUUGCACAAGGGGCGCAAGCCUGAUGCAGCCAUGCCGCGUGUAUGGAAGGCCUUCGGGUUGUAAAGUACUUUCAGCGGGGAGGAAGGUGUUAAGGUUAAUAACCUUGUCAAUUGACGUUACCCGCAGAAGAAGCACCGGCUAACUCCGUGCCAGCAGCCGCGGUAAUACGGAGUGCAAGCGUUAAGGAUCGGAAUUACUGGGCGUAAAGCGCACGCAGGCGGUCUGUCAAGUCGGAUGUGAAAUCCCCGGGCUAACCUGGGAACUGCAUUCGAAACUGGCAGGCUAGAGUCUUGUAGAGGGGCCUGAAUUGGUAGAAUUCCAGGUGUAGCGGUGAAAUGCGUAGAGAUCUGGAGGAAUACCGGUGGCGAAGGCGGCCCUCCCCUGGACAAAGACUGACGCUCAUGCGAAAGCGGGGGAGCAAACAGGAUUAGUACCCUGGUAGUCCACGCCGUAAACGAUGUCGACUUGGAGGUUGUGCCC